GACUUUUUGGUUUCGUACGAUUUGAUACAUCGCCACCGCCUACUCGUAGCGUGUGUGGAAAAGUGGUUAGAAUUCGUACGACGACGACGACGACGAGAACAACAUAGUUCACGUAACGUUACAUUUAUUACUCGGAAUCUAUUUCAGUUGACGUAAAAGGUUUAGCAGCCGUUUUCUUGUUCUCUCCUCGUCUCAAAAUCCCAACAGGACCACAACUCCUCAUCUUCUUCUUGAUUAUGUGUAUGUACACGACUAAGAUUAGCAGCAGCAGGGUGGUUAGUUAGAAUAAAGCAGAAUAUGACAACACACACGGCUUGUUUGCCAUUGCAUUCCACGACGGACUAAAAAAGAAAACACUAAUAAAGAUGAACAGCAUGUUGGCGAGUGGGUGCAGUGCAGGGGGACAUGUAGCUGAGUCAGUUUGGGUCAUAUUUCAUAUCCUCAUCGUCGCAGAGUCGGUCAUCCUCUCUGAUUUAUUCUAAAUAGCAAUCUAAAUAUUUACAGGAGGCAUAUUUAAUAAAUCUGCUCUACGUCCUCGUCUCAUCUGCAUGUGUGCAAACUUAUUGCGUGCGAAGUGAGGUGGGGUGAGAUUUGUGCUACAACUGUAAAAUAAUUGUAGGGACUGGCUUGGCUUGGAGUAGAAGAACAGAUACGUGCAACACUACAACUGCGUGAUUGAGUUGUUGAAGAUUCUCGUUAUAAAAAUAUCAUUGGAUUAAAUUGACGAAAUAUUACUUCCUCAGGACAAGAAAAAAAGAUCUCCUCAAAAUGAGAAAUCUGCUUCUUUUCGCCACCACCAUUCUUCUGGUCAUCUCCUCCUCUCGAGCUGAGGGUGAACUGAAUCACGGUGACCAUUGCGAUCCAUCUCCCUCACAGACGGACACUGCCCAGAAAUGUGACACUUCUCGACGUCUCUCUUGCGACGUGAAUACCCAUCGGUGCCGUUGUCACCACGCGGACCGCGACUUUUUCGAUAAUGACAGCGGACGGUGUGAGACAAAAGUUGGGAAAUUCUGCGCCCCUGACGCCACCUUCCCAGUGAUUUGUGUCAAUCAAGCCGUUUGCAAUAGCACCACAAAAUUCUGCGAAUGUCCGGGCGGAUUUGAGACGAAUGACGAAGGAAGCGAAUGCAGUGGGGGGAAUGAAUCGUCCUCCAGUGUUUUCUUAUCAUCGUUGGCCAUGUUUCUCCUCCUCGCGUCGGUAUUCGUUUGCACGUAGCGUUCUAGAGUGUCGAGCCGUAUUUUUAGGUGUUGUAUAUUUAUAAAAAUAUUUGUCGCAUUUUUUUCGUAUAUGUUUGUACCUCGUAUCGUCAUACCAGGGGUUCUUUUCGCUGAUAAAGUUGUGUUGUUCAAAGUUUUUAGCAAAGUUAGUUUUCCUGUCGAGUGUUGCAAAAAGUUUGUGCAAAAAAACCCUGCCUGCCAUACAUAUGGACCUCGUUAUUUAGGUGGAAUAAUUGUGUGUGUUUCUGGUCAAAUGUGCAAUAGAUACAUUGAUAUUGACACCCUGACUUUAUCCCGGAGAAUAAUUGUGCAAGAUGUGAAUAUUUGUAGCAGAUUGUUUUUUUUAUUAUAGAUAAUUAAGGUAACAAUACUGUCCAACAAACAAGAUUUUCAAGUAAAUUAAUUACAUGAAGGUGUGUUGUGUUGUUUUCAAAGAGGAAAAUAAGAUUAAUAUUUCACACAUAUUGACAUGCAGAAAUCAUGGAAAAGUCAUAGUAGAAAUAGAAGGAGACAUAAGUAAAUAGGAGAAAAAAAUAAAAGUGCACUUUGUUAUCCAA
Long non-coding RNA from Folsomia candida, 1777 nucleotides. RefSeq lists it as uncharacterized. The record is from RefSeq and is a predicted model, not a curated record. The transcript has 3 exons. Lineage: Eukaryota; Metazoa; Arthropoda; Collembola; Entomobryomorpha; Isotomidae.